AUGCGCGUGCCCUACUCCCACCUUCCAGGGGACCGCAGCGCGCUUCUAGGCGGGCGUGGGGGGCGCCUGAUGUCUCCGUUCUGUUUUACAGCUACUCCCCUGCAGGCGCCUCCCACCUCGGCGCCGUCUUCUCCGGCACGAACUCGCCAUCGGCACCUGCUCGUAGGAGGGCGCGCGGGUGGAAAGAUCUUCCCGUGCAGUGUGAUGGGACAGCCUCUUUUCAGCAUCUCUGAAGAUGGAGACAGAGAGGAGCUGUGGGUCUUGCCAAGGUCACAGGAUUGGAGUCCAGAGCCACGUCACUCCCGGACAUGGGAGGUCAUCAGCAGGGGAAAAGCCAAGCAGAAGGGGAAGAUGCAGGAUCCGCCUUCCCAAGGCAGCAGCAGUCAGGGGCCAGGAUGGAUGAGGCGGCCGUGGGCAGAGACGCGAGCUCCUCCUCUCCCAUCCCUGCCCAUCUGGGACUUUGCAAAGGACCUGGGGAGACAUACCCUGACCAUCCCACAGGGUGGGGCCUUGGCCUUUGGCCUGUGGGCUCCUGUCUUUGCUGUGGUCACACCGGGUGCCUGUUCAGGUCUGAGGGCCUCUGCCCAUGCCUCCAGCUCUCUGCCAUCCUUAUUUCCACCCCAGAGGGGCAAGGGCAGCGUGCUGGGAGGUUGCCAAAGCUAGGGGCUCCAGCCUUCUAGGAGUUAACGACUCCCUCUCCCCAGCUGUCCUCCCCUUGGUGCUCCUCUUCCUCCCUCCUCCUGCUCACAGCAGGCAGGGCCUGGACCUGGGAGCCACGCCGCUGUGCUGUUGCCACGGGAGCCGGGAGGCAGACCUGAGCUAUGCAGGGGAAAGGCCCGGCCUGUCAAAGUGUCUGAGAUGAACCGUCGCCGUCCCUGUGCAGCUGGGCUCAGACGUGUCUCGGCUCUUGUUCUGUGCCUGAGAAUGGCGAAGCCCAGUGAGGUUCAAGGGCAAACUCACUAUUCAUUAGUCAGGGGUUCUUGACGUCCCGUCUCUCCCAGGGAUGGGAUCCCCCACGCCUCUUUCUCUCCCUCCUGUAACACAUUCCUGGGUGCCUUUGGUGAGGACUACACCCUCUGCCUCUGCCCAACCUUUUCUCCAGAGGCCCCUAAAUAAACUCCCCCCAAGGAGACCAGGCAGGGCAGAGACAGUGGCCACAGGAAACCAGGCAGGACUCUAGCCAUGCCAGCCUGCCCUCCCCCCAGCACCCUGUGGGCCCCAUUCCCCUCUGACUCAGGGUACCCCUGGGCCACCGGCACGCACAGGCCCGGACAGGAGGAAGCCACUGGCUGCUGCCCCGGGGACAACAGGCCCAUUCUCUGAGGGCUCCUAAGUUGGCCUGCACAGCCUGAAUUUCACAGCUGUCUCUUCUGGUGCCUUUCUCUACCAUCACGUGUCUGUUUUAAGACACUCCAAUACUGUUGGCUGGAGAAUGUCAAUCGUAUAUUCUGUAAUGUGGCUGUAUCAGAAUGUAAAAGACAUACAGACUUAGUCACAAACUACACCGUUAGGAAUUUACUCUUAUGGUUCUAUAUGUAAAAUUUCCAAAAAAAAAUGUGUACAAGGAUGUUUGUCAGAGCAUUUUCUUUUUAAGAAUGUAAGAACAUGGAAAUGAACCUAUGGUCUGAUCAUAUGGUGGAAUAUUAUACAGCUCCAAAAAGCACUGUGGUAGGUCUCUCUGUGCUGAUAUGGAAGGUUGGCCAGUAUAUAUUGAUGCAUGAAGAGAAUAAACUGCAGAACAGGCCACAGAGUAUGAUUUUAUUUACAUGUAUUUAAAGGUGGCUCUGCCUUGGGCUCAGGCCAUGAUCCCAGAGUCCUGGGAUAGAGCCCCCACAUCAAGCUCCCUGCUCAGUGGGGAGCCUGCUUCCCCCUCUCUCUGCCUGCCUGUCUGCCUACUUGUGAUUUCUCUCUCUGUGUCAAAUAAAUAAAUAAAACCUUAAAAAAAAAAAGUCAGUCCUAAUUAUGCUUGUAUCUGAGGAGUUUCUGGAAACUUCGAGUUGGAAGAUGGAUAGAUGCCUUCUUCUGGACUGUUACUUGUUCCUUCCAUGCCUAUGGAAUGUUUUCAUUGAAAAAUUUAAAGACACUAUUUAAUAUAAUGGGCUUAACUUCUUUUUGGGGGGGGGCGCUUAACUUCUUUUAACCAACUUAGGAUAAGAGCUCCAGGAGGAUGCUGGUGGUGUUGCAGGGAAAAAAAUCCCAGAAACUCUGCCAUUGGCUGUUUUCAGGCCUAAGAAGCACACAUCGUCGUUGUCAUGUCUACUGCGGUUAAUUAAAAGCUUUACUAAGUGCCAG
RNAcentral lists this long non-coding RNA (2292 nucleotides) under Mustela putorius furo (domestic ferret). Its description in RNAcentral is "lncRNA (ENSMPUG00000028187.1)". Lineage: Eukaryota; Metazoa; Chordata; Mammalia; Carnivora; Mustelidae. The record is from RNAcentral.